UUAGUCUUGUAAUUUAAGACUGGAAUGAAAGAAUAAACGAGAUAAGUCUUUUCUUAGUUAUUAUUUUUGAACUUUACUUUUUAGUAAGAAGGCUAAAAUACUCCCUUAAGACAAGAAGACCCUAUAAAGCUUUACACAAGACAAUUUAAUAAAUUAAUAAUGUGUUUUACUGGGGCGGUAGAAAGAAAAACACUUUUAUAUUAAAAAGAUGAAACAGUCUUUAUACCCAAAAAUUUUGAAAAUUAAAUAAGUUACUUUAGGGAUAACAGCGUUAUACAUCUAGAAAGCUCAAAUUGACAGGUGUGUUUGCGACCUCGAUGUUGGAUUAGACUACCUUUAUCGCGCAAGAG
This 350-nucleotide ribosomal RNA is filed under the name Heteroctenus princeps. Its description in RNAcentral is "partial large subunit ribosomal RNA". It matches the Rfam family "Archaeal large subunit ribosomal RNA", at positions 2045 to 2630 of the family's 2987-position model. Lineage: Eukaryota; Metazoa; Arthropoda; Arachnida; Scorpiones; Buthidae. The record is from RNAcentral.